UCUUUUAAAAACAAAUUAAUAUCUAUUCUACACAUUGCCUUCUUUCUUUCAAAGGAUAUCUCCUUUCAUUUGUAGAAGAAGAUUCACCUUGUUGCAUUCCAUGUUCUUUUUUAACCUUCUUUGCUCUUAAACAUUGUCAUUUCUCACUCAAUGGUUGAUACUCCUCAUCACCAUCAUCACCAUCAUAAUCUUCAAUAUCUUCAUUUCUUUCGUUGUUGUUCCUAGCAAUUAUAGGAGCCUUCAUCUUUUCAACCUUUUUUGGCUUUUCAUCUUCAUCAUCUUCAUUGUCUUCAUCUUCAUCAUCUUCAAUGUCUUCAUCUUCAUCAUCAUCAUUGUCUUCAUCUUCUUGUUUCUAUGCUGAAUUCAAAGAUGUAUCCACAAACACACCAUUACU
RNAcentral lists this long non-coding RNA (394 nucleotides) under Physcomitrium patens. RNAcentral's name for it is "long non-coding RNA (PPAT_LNC001865)". The record is from RNAcentral. Lineage: Eukaryota; Viridiplantae; Streptophyta; Bryopsida; Funariales; Funariaceae.